UAAAGCGUGCGCAGGCGGUUAUAUAAGACAGAUGUGAAAUCCCCGGGCUCAACCUGGGAACUGCAUUUGUGACUGUAUAGCUGGAGUGCGGCAGAGGGGGAUGGAAUUCCGCGUGUAGCAGUGAAAUGCGUAGAUAUGCGGAGGAACACCGAUGGCGAAGGCAAUCCCCUGGGCCUGCACUGACGCUCAUGCACGAAAGCGUGGGGAGCAAACAGGAUUAGAUACCCGGU
Molecule: ribosomal RNA, 230 nt
Filed under: uncultured bacterium
Lineage: Bacteria
Description: partial 16S ribosomal RNA
Rfam family: Bacterial small subunit ribosomal RNA
Source: RNAcentral